UAAAGUGGCGAACGGCUGAGUAACACGUGGGCAACCUGCCCUUUGCACUGGGAUAGCCUCGGGAAACCGAGGUUAAUACCGGAUACUCCAUAUUUGUCGCAUGGCGAAUAUGGGAAAGCUCCGGCGGCAAAGGAUGGGCCCGCGGCCUGUUAGCUAGUUGGUGGGGUAGUGGCCUACCAAGGCAAUGAUGGGUAGCCGGGUUGAGAGACCACCGGCCAGAUUGGGACUGAGACACGGCCCAGACUCCUACGGGAGGCAGCAGUG
RNAcentral lists this ribosomal RNA (264 nucleotides) under uncultured Atopobium sp. Its description in RNAcentral is "partial 16S ribosomal RNA". It matches the Rfam family "Bacterial small subunit ribosomal RNA", at positions 91 to 356 of the family's 1533-position model. The record is from RNAcentral. Lineage: Bacteria; Bacillati; Actinomycetota; Coriobacteriia; Coriobacteriales; Atopobiaceae.